This 475-nucleotide ribosomal RNA is filed under the name uncultured bacterium. RNAcentral describes it as "SSU rRNA". It matches the Rfam family "Bacterial small subunit ribosomal RNA", at positions 26 to 518 of the family's 1533-position model. The record is from RNAcentral.
AGAAUCAACGCUGGCGGCGUGCCUAACACAUGCAAGUCGAACGAGAAAGUGGAGCAAUCCAUGAGUAAAGUGGCGACCGGGUGAGUAACACGUGACUAACCUACCUUCAAGUGGGGGAUAACCUCGGGAAACCGGGGCUAAUACCGCAUAACAUCUUUGGAGUGGAAAUUCUGGAGAUCAAAGGAGCAAUUCGCUGGAAGAGGGGGUCGCGGCUGAUUAGCUAGUUGGCGGGGUAAUGGCCCACCAAGGCUUUGAUCGGUAGCCGGCCUGAGAGGGCGCACGGCCACACUGGAACUGAAACACGGUCCAGACUCCUACGGGAGGCAGCAGUGGGGAAUUUUGCGCAAUGGGGGAAACCCUGACGCAGCAACGCCGCGUGGAGGAUGAAGUCCCUUGGGACGUAAACUCCUUUCGACCGGGAAGAUUAUGACGGUACCGGUGGAAGAAGCCCGGCUAACUUCGUGCCAGCAGCCGC